Molecule: non-coding RNA, 29 nt
Filed under: Rattus norvegicus (Norway rat)
Lineage: Eukaryota; Metazoa; Chordata; Mammalia; Rodentia; Muridae
Source: RNAcentral
UNGUGACCUCACUCCCUUCUACUAGGCUC